AAAAGAACCCCGGGAGGGGAGUGAAAUAGAACCUGAAACCGCAUGCAUACAAACAGUAGGAGCCUCGUCAGAGGUGACUGCGUACCUUUUGCAUAAUGGGUCAGCGACUUACAUUCUGUGGCGAGCUUAACCGAAUAGGGGAGGCGCAGCGAAAGCGAGUUCGAAAUGAGCGUUCAGUCGCAGGGUGUAGACCCGAAACCAGAUGAGCUAUCCAUGGCCAGGUUGAAGGUGUGGUAACACACACUGGAGGACCGAACCGACUAGUGUUGCAAAAUUAGCGGAUGAGCUGUGGAUAGGGGUGAAAGGCCAAACAAAUCUGGAGAUAGCUGGUUCUCCCCGAAAACUAUUGAGGUAGUGCCUCGUGUGUCGCUCCAGGGGGUAGAGCACUGUUUUGGCUAGGGGGACAUGGAGUCUUACCAAACCAAGGCAAACUCCGAAUACCUGGAAGCGUAAGCACGGGAGACAGAGCACCGGGUGCUAACGUCCGGACUCAAAAGGGAAACAACCCAGACCGCCGGCUAAGGUCCCAAAUAACAGCUAAGUGGAAAACGAAGUGGAAAGGCCGUGACAACCAGGAAGUUGGCUUAGAAGCAGCCAUCCUUCAAAGAAAGCGUAAUAGCUCACUGGUCGAGUCCUUCUGCGCGGAAGAUGUAACGGGGCUAAGCUGUUAACCGAAGCCGCGGAUGCGCUGGUUAUCCAGUGCGUGGUAGGGGAGCGUUCUGUAAGUCUGCGAAGGCGGUUCGAGAGGACUGCUGGAGAUAUCAGAAGUGCGAAUGCUGACAUGAGUAACGUUAAAGCAGGUGAAAAGCCUGCUCGCCGUAAGCCCAAGGAUUCCUGCUCUACGUUCAUCGGAGCAGGGUGAGUCGGCUCCUAAGGUCAGGCCGAAAGGCGUAGCCGAUGGGAAUCAGGUUAAUAUUCCUGAACCUGCGUCAGAUGCGAUGGGGGGACGGAGCAUGGAAGAUCAUCCGGGUGUUGGAAGUCCCGGUUGUUUAGCGUAGGAGGUCUGCAGGCAAAUCCGCAGACGCAUCUCCAAGGCAAAGACACGUGCCGCCACGGCGGCGAAGUGAUCGGAAGUGCUUCCAAGAAAAGCCUCUAAGCACCAGUCUGAUGCGGACCGUACCGCAAACCGACACUGGUGGGCGAGCUGAAUAUGCUCAGGCGCUUGAGAGAACUCGGGAGAAGGAACUCGGCAAAUUGACACCGUAACUUCGGAAGAAGGUGUGCCGUAGUACCGUGAGAGGAGAGACACCUUGAGCGGGAAACGGUCUCAGAGAAUAGGUGGCUGCGACUGUUUAUUAAAAACACAGCACUCUGCAAAGUCGAAAGACGACGUAUAGGGUGUGAUGCCUGCCCGGUGCUGGAAGAUUAAUUGAUGGGGUGAGAGCCCUUGAUCGAAGUCCCAGUAAACGGCGGCCGUAACUAUAACGGUCCUAAGGUAGCGAAAUUCCUUGUCGGGUAAGUUCCGACCUGCACGAAUGGCAUAACGAUGGCCACACUGUCUCCUCCCGAGACUCAGUGAAGUUGAAAUGUUUGUGAUGAUGCAAUCUACCCGCGGCUAGACGGGAAGACCCCAUGAACCUUUACUGCAGCUUUGCAUUGAACUGUGAACCGAUUUGUGUAGGAUAGGUGGGAGGCAGAGAAGAGGCCACGCCAGUGGUCUUGGAGCCGACCUUGAAAUACCACCCUGAUUUGUUUGCGGUUCUAACCACGGACAGUGAUCCUGUCUUGGGACCGUGCAUGGUAGGCAGUUUGACUGGGGCGGUCUCCUCCUAAAGGGUAACGGAGGAGUACGAAGGUACGCUAGGUACGGUCGGAAAUCGUGCUGAUAGUGCAAUGGCAGAAGCGUGCUUGACUGCGAGAGCAACAACUCGAGCAGAUGCGAAAGCAGGUCAUAGUGAUCCGGUGGCUCUGAAUGGAAGGGCCAUCGCUCAACGGAUAAAAGGUACUCUGGGG
This 1953-nucleotide ribosomal RNA is filed under the name human gut metagenome. RNAcentral's name for it is "bacterial LSU rRNA". It matches the Rfam family "Bacterial large subunit ribosomal RNA", at positions 517 to 2473 of the family's 2925-position model. The record is from RNAcentral.